This 520-nucleotide ribosomal RNA is filed under the name uncultured bacterium. Its description in RNAcentral is "bacterial SSU rRNA". It matches the Rfam family "Bacterial small subunit ribosomal RNA", at positions 120 to 674 of the family's 1533-position model. The record is from RNAcentral.
GGGAACGUACCCUUUUCUACGGAAUAGCUCUGGGAAACUGGAAUUAAUACCGUAUACGCCCUACGGGGGAAAGAUUUAUCGGGGAAGGAUUGGCCCGCGUUGGAUUAGCUAGUUGGUGGGGUAAAGGCCUACCAAGGCGACGAUCCAUAGCUGGUCUGAGAGGAUGAUCAGCCACAUUGGGACUGAGACACGGCCCAAACUCCUACGGGAGGCAGCAGUGGGGAAUAUUGGACAAUGGGCGCAAGCCUGAUCCAGCCAUGCCGCGUGAGUGAUGAAGGCCUUAGGGUUGUAAAGCUCUUUCACCGAUGAAGAUAAUGACGGUAGUCGGAGAAGAAGCCCCGGCUAACUUCGUGCCAGCAGCCGCGGUAAUACGAAGGGGGCUAGCGUUGUUCGGAAUUACUGGGCGUAAAGCGCACGUAGGCGGAUAUUUAAGUCAGGGGUGAAAUCCCAGAGCUCAACUCUGGAACUGCCUUUGAUACUGGGUAUCUUGAGUAUGGAAGAGGUAAGUGGAAUUGCGAGU